UGGAGAUUGAACCAGGUGUAGGAGAACGCACGGACGUGUGGCAGCAAAGCCUCGAUGAAGGGAUGGAAUUCAUCCUGUUGGAUAAAAAAAAAGCACAUUUCAGAGACUUUCGUGGAAUUUAAGAAAAUAAUAUAGUUUAAAGAUCUCAGCGGCUGUGCAGGAAUUCCGGGAUUCUGCAAUUCACAGAAAGCAGCUUCUUUAGCUCAAGUCAGGCCAAGAAAAGCUUGGCGAUCCCCACGGCAACGGAAGACUCAUUCAGCUCUCCAAUAAUACCUUCACCACACAACGCUCAGUGACAAAGCCUAAACCGCGCCACGGUGCCCCAGUGCCAGGGCCGCCGUGCCCCAGACCCUCUCCGCCAACUCUCGCCACAACAAGACCGCGGUUAAACUGCGUCCCUUCAAGACCUGCCAUCAAAUCCUGUCUGCGGGCUGCUGUCGUGCAGAAAUCCAGGCAUGUUCACAUUUCGACAAUCGAGAAAGCAGAUAGCACCGCGUAAAGCACACACUGAAGACAGGAGCAGAAAGAGAGAGAAAGGCUGCUAGUUACCAUUUUGCACUCUCAUCAUAAAUUUGGCACGCCGUUCAGGACGGGGGGGAAAAUCCACCCGCACCAGUUCUUUGCCACUCACGCCGAAACAACAACUGCUGGCUUGGCAAAGACGAAGAAUUGGCGACCAAAAAAAUAUACUUGGGUAAAAAGGAAAGAAGACUGGAGAUGCUCCAAUUGCCGGCGGAAAGAAGUUAAUUUCAAGAUCAGGAAUUUUCUUUUGCUUUGCGGUUCCAGUGCGCUGACCAUUGGGGAAAGCAGAAAAGCAAGCAGGUUUAAUGAGAGAGAUGUGGGGUUUGGGGGUUUGUUGGUCGCCCGCUGUGCGCCCGUGACCCUCCCUGCGCAUGUGACCCACCGUGACCCUGAAACACCAUAAUGAAGACAGACGUGAUGGCUGAUUCUGCCCUCUUACAGGAGAAAGACACUCUGACAACACAAGAAUAUAAGAGACAAAGAGCCUGUUAAAAUGAUUUUUCAUAAGGGGAAGGAGGCAGACAGUGAGAGACAGAGUAAAAAUGUGAUAAAUACCAACAUGACAGACGUUGAGGGAGGUGCAUGGAGGCUGUGGAGAAUCAUGUGCUAACACACGCUAUCGUGAAGACGCCAGUCCAGACAUGCCGGCAUGCCAGUGUGGACAAAACCAUAGCGGUAAAGAGACAUCUGACCCACACACACACACACGGCCAUCUAUUGUGUCUGACACUGGACACACUCUCACACAUGCACUCGUGUAUAACCUCACACCUCAGAGACGUGGACCGCGUGUGAAGGUGUGUGAGCGUGAGGUUCGAGCAGGUGUGUGUGUGUGUGUGUGUUGGCACAGGUGAGGGCCGCCCCUCCUCCCGCUGCUGAUAUGCUGCAGGUCUGUUUGGAUUUCUGAAAGAGAGUCUGAGAUGAGUAGAAACUCAGCUCUCGCAGCGACGAGUGACAUCAGCUGCUGUCAGUGCAAUCAGAGACACACACCUGCAGAUUUAUAUCGUGUCAAAUCACACACAAGCUGUUUUAUGGCAGUGGCUGUGAAAUAUGGGAGGCUGGGGCAAGUUGUCACAGUGCAUGUGGGUUACAAACACCUAGAUCAAAAAUGUUUUUUUUUCAUCCUUUAAAUUAUUUUUUCAUAUUUAUAUUUUGGGAUCCCACUUUAUAUUGGCCUUAACUACUAUGUAGCCCACUUACAUCAAACUAAGUACAAUGUAUCCUACUUACUGUGUUCAUAGUGGGAUGGGGUAAGGCAAGG
Molecule: long non-coding RNA, 1783 nt
Organism: Carassius gibelio (silver crucian carp)
Lineage: Eukaryota; Metazoa; Chordata; Actinopteri; Cypriniformes; Cyprinidae
Exons: 3
Source: RefSeq, a predicted model, not a curated record